Molecule: microRNA precursor, 84 nt
Filed under: Tupaia belangeri (northern tree shrew)
Lineage: Eukaryota; Metazoa; Chordata; Mammalia; Scandentia; Tupaiidae
Description: miRNA (ENSTBEG00000021289.1)
Source: RNAcentral
UCGUCUGGGGGGUUUGUUAGAUUGCAAAUUCUACUCUGCUAUAGGACUGAGAUUCUGCAUUUCUAACAAACUCUCAGGUGAGGC